CCCUUAGAUGCUCUGGGCUGCACGCGUGCUACAAUGGCGCUUGCAACAAGUCUUGCCAACCCGAUAGGGUGAGCGGAUCUUUGAAGAGGCGUCGUGAUCGGGACAGUUGAUUGCAAUUAUUCGACUCGAACGAGGAAUUCCUUGUAAUCGCGAUUCAUCAUAUCGCGCUGAAUACGUCCCUGCCCUUUGUACACACCGCCCGUCGCUCCUACCGAUUGAGCGAUCCGGUGAAUGUUUUGGACUGGCGUCAGAAGCGGUUCGCUCCUGACACUACGAAAUUUUGUAAACCUUAUCGCUUAGAGGAAGGAAAAGUCGUAACA
This 320-nucleotide ribosomal RNA is filed under the name uncultured eukaryote. RNAcentral describes it as "partial 18S ribosomal RNA". It matches the Rfam family "Eukaryotic small subunit ribosomal RNA", at positions 1470 to 1796 of the family's 1831-position model. The record is from RNAcentral.